This 700-nucleotide ribosomal RNA is filed under the name Vibrio sp. AGH32B. RNAcentral describes it as "bacterial SSU rRNA". It matches the Rfam family "Bacterial small subunit ribosomal RNA", at positions 804 to 1504 of the family's 1533-position model. Lineage: Bacteria; Pseudomonadati; Pseudomonadota; Gammaproteobacteria; Vibrionales; Vibrionaceae. The record is from RNAcentral.
AAACGAUGUCUACUUGGAGGUUGUGGCCUUGAGCCGUGGCUUUCGGAGCUAACGCGUUAAGUAGACCGCCUGGGGAGUACGGUCGCAAGAUUAAAACUCAAAUGAAUUGACGGGGGCCCGCACAAGCGGUGGAGCAUGUGGUUUAAUUCGAUGCAACGCGAAGAACCUUACCUACUCUUGACAUCCAGAGAACUUUCCAGAGAUGGAUUGGUGCCUUCGGGAACUCUGAGACAGGUGCUGCAUGGCUGUCGUCAGCUCGUGUUGUGAAAUGUUGGGUUAAGUCCCGCAACGAGCGCAACCCUUAUCCUUGUUUGCCAGCACUUCGGGUGGGAACUCCAGGGAGACUGCCGGUGAUAAACCGGAGGAAGGUGGGGACGACGUCAAGUCAUCAUGGCCCUUACGGGUAGGGCUACACACGUGCUACAAUGGCGCAUACAGAGGGCGGCCAACUUGCGAAAGUGAGCGAAUCCCAAAAAGUGCGUCGUAGUCCGGAUUGGAGUCUGCAACUCGACUCCAUGAAGUCGGAAUCGCUAGUAAUCGUGGAUCAGAAUGCCACGGUGAAUACGUUCCCGGGCCUUGUACACACCGCCCGUCACACCAUGGGAGUGGGCUGCAAAAGAAGUGGGUAGUUUAACCUUCGGGGGGACGCUCACCACUUUGUGGUUCAUGACUGGGGUGAAGUCGUAACAAGGUAACCGUA